GAAAUAGUGGAGAGAGAGAGAGAGAAACACGAGCUAGCCACCACCGCCCACCUUUUUCAGUCGCCGGCGCCGAUUCCAGCCACAAUUCUUACACCAUUCUCUUCCUCUCUUCAUGGGCUUUCUAUUGAUAUAUGUUUCAAGACCUAUCAUCAAGUGUGCGCGACGAAUCGAGGGAGAGAAGAUUGAGUGAUUUUCCGGCUAUUUUUCAAAUUCCGACCAAACCGUCGACAUUUGGAGAAACCCCAAGGUAAUCCGGUUGAGCAAGCUUCCGAGGACAUUCCCGAAAUGGGACUCACCUAGUCACCCUUCAUUGUGGUAGAUUUUGCUCAUGAGGUCGGACCGCACCACGUUGAGACAUUCUCCUUAUCCACCUUCAUCCAUCUUGACUUGUAGGAUUUGUUCUCUUUCGUACUCUUACAUUUCUUACUUAAUUGGACCGUGUAACUUAUGAUCUGAUGUAACCAUAAAUUGAGUAUUGGAUUCCUAAGUAGUAAUUGUUGGGCUAGAACCCUCGUAUUUGGUUGGUGGUGGAUGUUUUUGUGAAGGACAGGAUGUCCUAUUUGGAAGUUAUUGGAUAUUUAUGAUAUUAGAAGUAUAUUAUUGGA
Molecule: long non-coding RNA, 605 nt
Organism: Rosa rugosa (rugosa rose)
Lineage: Eukaryota; Viridiplantae; Streptophyta; Magnoliopsida; Rosales; Rosaceae
Exons: 3
Source: RefSeq, a predicted model, not a curated record